RNAcentral lists this ribosomal RNA (253 nucleotides) under uncultured bacterium. Its description in RNAcentral is "partial 16S ribosomal RNA". It matches the Rfam family "Bacterial small subunit ribosomal RNA", at positions 524 to 776 of the family's 1533-position model. The record is from RNAcentral.
UACGAGAGGCCCAAACGUUAUUCGGAUUUACUGGGCUUAAAGAGUUCGUAGGCGGUUCGGUAAGUGAGGUGUGAAAGCCCUCGGCUCAACCGAGGAAUUGCGCUUCAAACUGCCGGGCUCGAGGGAGAUAGAGGUGAGCGGAACUGAUGGUGGAGCGGUGAAAUGCGCAGAUAUCAGGAAGAACACCGGUGGCGAAGGCGGGUCUCUGGGCCACUACUGACGCUGAGGAGCGAAAGCGUGGGGAGCGAACAGG